AACACCUCCAGCCACAACUACAACACCUCCAGCCACAACUACAACACCUCCAGCCACAACUACAACAUCUCCAGCCACAACUACAACACCUCCAGCCCCAACUACAACACCUCCAGGCACUGCAGCAAUAAUAUAUCUAAAAAUGAAAAUCACCACGUAUGGUGAGCUCAGCAAUGGAACCAUCGCUGAGCGUGUCAAUCAGUUCUUUAGAACGGCGCUCCUGAACAGCACAGACUUCACAGUGAAAGUGAAAUCCAUUGAAAGGGUCCCAUAGUUGCCCCAUAGAAGCUCCAUGGGGACAGAGACUGUAAAAAAAACAAUUGUACUGGUGGUAUAGUUUUAACACAAUGUAAAAGGGGAGUUCAUCAUAAUGAUUUUAUUAUAUAUGGAAAGAAAUAUUUGAGUUUUGUGACAGUUAGCUAAACACAUCAGAUGUAAGUGUGCUCCACUGUGCUGCAAAGAUCCACAACAUCUAUUUCCAAACCACCAGAAGUAGCUGGAUGUGCUCAAGGUGCAUGAGAAGGUGUUUUGGGGGAAAUGCAGAAGCUUGGAAGUCCCCUCAUGCACCUUUUAUUUGUUAAAUAACAUGUACAAUAUUUGCAGCACAGCACAGUUGAUUUUACCCUAACUACAACAGCCACUACCCCAACUACAACAAUUUGACUGGAGCCAACACGUCAUGAUGAACUCUGUUUUUUACAUAAUAACUCCAUCAUUCAAUUUGAAAAGCCCCCAGGAACAGACAAUCAAUGAUAAUAAAUACAGGAUGAAAUCAAUAUUUUCAUGUUGGGGUUAUGUUGAACAUCAUGGUGUCAUAUGUGUUCAAGUUCCACUUAAGUAACCUUUUCAUAUGUGUAAAAAUCAAACGCAUACUGUCCUUAAACACUCACUAAUUGAUUCUCAGCAUUCCAUGUGUGAACUACAACUUACAAUAUAAACUGUAAUCUUCAAAAAAUUUAAUUUUUCUGACCAAAAAAAACCAAGACCUUGCAUGAAGACUUUCUCACCAAUCAUUGCAAACUAUGACGAGUUGUAAUUAUUUUUGAAGAACUGGUUUGUCCAUCUCCUGUUUAUUUAUCUUUUCAGUUUUUUUGUUGUGAUAUUUGAUUUCGUUUGUAGUGUUGUGUAUUUUGUAAACAUGCACGUCUGAUAGCUUACCUGGUUUUUCCGGUUAUAUGACCACAGCCUCUAUCACUGCUACCUUGUCACGCUCUCUGGAGCUGAAGGAGGAGCAAAGCACAACUUAAGCACAUUAGUAAUCAAAGAAAAACUACCACUCUGUUUUUGUAGUAGUGAGGAGUAACACCACCCAUCAUGGAAAGAACAAUCCUCUAUUGUAUAUUUUUGCUCGGAUAUUUUCAUGCAUCCUGUGCCCAAGGUCAGCAUUCAUUGCAAUUAUUGUUUGCAUUUUAUGA
Molecule: long non-coding RNA, 1415 nt
Organism: Hippoglossus stenolepis (Pacific halibut)
Lineage: Eukaryota; Metazoa; Chordata; Actinopteri; Pleuronectiformes; Pleuronectidae
Exons: 3
Source: RefSeq, a predicted model, not a curated record